UACGUAGGGGGCUAGCGUUGUCCGGAAUCAUUGGGCGUAAAGCGCGUGUAGGCGGCUCGGUAAGUCCGCUGUGAAAGUCGGGGGCUCAACCCUCGGAUGCCGGUGGAUACUGUCGGGCUAGAGUACGGAAGAGGCGAGUGGAAUUCCUGGUGUAGCGGUGAAAUGCGCAGAUAUCAGGAGGAACACCAAUUGCGAAGGCAGCUCGCUGGGACGUUACUGACGCUGAGGUGCGAAAGCUAGGGGAGCGAACGGG
Molecule: ribosomal RNA, 253 nt
Filed under: uncultured bacterium
Lineage: Bacteria
Description: partial 16S ribosomal RNA
Rfam family: Bacterial small subunit ribosomal RNA
Source: RNAcentral